GACUAUCAUCCAUCUUAACACGGAUAACUCUGACAAACUUGGCUUAUCAAUCUCGACAUGCGCUCUUUGGCCCUCGGUCAAUUACGCUUUCCAGUAAAGGUCCAAACCAGAAUUUGGCAUCCCCUUUAAGGACGAUCGUAAACUAACGUGACCUUAAUGUUAACACGAAAGUACCAUGGUCUAAUCCUUGACCUACAAUGUCCUGGGCGAUCUGAGUGAACACAUCCUUCACACCAAGCCAAACUAUUUGAGAAACCAUCGCUCCAUCACUUAACGGCUAAACGACAACCUACGAUUUGUCUAAAAACGUCGUGUGACUAUUAAGAGAAUAAUUAUCGUAUAGCCCACAGUCGAAAAUCAUAUGAUAAAUUCUUCGUAACAAAACUCAGUCCUAACAACCAAACGGUUAGCAGAAAACCUAAACUUGUCGACAAUCGACCAAGUUCAAUACGUUUCACCGAUAACUUUAAAGCCCGCUACGUAUUACCCGUAAAAUGCGGCAUGUAAGGAAAACUCGUAACAGAGCUCCUAGAGCUAUACAAAACAUCCUCAAAUGUACACGAAAUAGAUCAGCCAACACCUCA
RNAcentral lists this long non-coding RNA (584 nucleotides) under Brassica napus (rape). Its description in RNAcentral is "long non-coding RNA (BNAP_LNC019967)". The record is from RNAcentral. Lineage: Eukaryota; Viridiplantae; Streptophyta; Magnoliopsida; Brassicales; Brassicaceae.